AAAAGUACUUUGAAGAGAGAGUAAACAGUGCGUGAAACCGCUCAGAGGUAAACGGGUGGAAUUGAACUGCAAGCUUUGAGGAUUCAGCUGGUGAGUGUGGUUUGGGCUUGGUCAAGUCGGUUGGACAUUGAGGUCUGUGUAGCAGCAGGUCUCUGCCCCCGGGCAGGGAUGCGCGAUACACUUAUCAAGUGUUGUGCGCCUCUUUGUUUAUCGGGCCAGCUUGCCAGUGCACUUUCUCAGAGUGUUCACCACGACCGGCACUGCUGUCUGACUGAUGUGGUUAAACCGGACUUACAGAGCACUUGUGGCUUUGUAUGGCCGGGAAGGCAGGUAGCUCGUUGGCUAGCUUGUGGUUCACCGCAGGCGUUGUUUUCGAGUGUAAUUCGCUGACCACGAUAGUUCUGUGCAGUGUGUCGGAGACGGCGGCUUGUGGUGCGUGCAUGCGUGCCGGUUCUGCUGGCGUGUUCGGGUUUGGUUGCCAUGUUGCUUGUGAAUGCAGGCCUGGUGAUGGCUCGGAUUCGUUCAGUUGGCGGUUGCGUAUGCGGUGCCGUAAAGGGCCAACAGUCUGUGGUGUAGUGGUAGAUUAUCCACCUGA
RNAcentral lists this ribosomal RNA (595 nucleotides) under Paragonimus harinasutai. Its description in RNAcentral is "partial 28S ribosomal RNA". The record is from RNAcentral. Lineage: Eukaryota; Metazoa; Platyhelminthes; Trematoda; Plagiorchiida; Troglotrematidae. RNAcentral also lists the same sequence under 1 other name.